CUUUUAAUUCUUUUUGGAGACUCACCGGGUUCUGUUGUUUUUUGAGAGUAUAUGUUUGAAGAGUUUGGAGUUUGUCGUAAACAGCCACUGUCGGGGUCUGGGAGUAUCUGUUUGCUUUUUGUUUCUUGCCUGCUAUUUACUCUGCUUAGUCCAUAGGUGGCAUGGGAGCUCAUGGGCACACAGGUGACAGGUGUGGCUGAUCCUGCUGAUUGCUGCUGGAAGCAUUUAAGCAGGAGGCUGCCAGCACUUCAACGCCUGAGUGUUAGCCAACAGUGUUACUUUCAAGCCCUGGCUGUGUUUCCAGUUUGUUUCCUGACUUCUGGAUCUAAGAUUCAAGCCUCCUAUUACCUUCUCUAGACAAACUUCAAGCUGGCAGCUUCCUGGCUCUGCGAUCCACCAGCCACAAUCAUAAGUGAACCUUGUUCACCCUCCAAUGAGCUCCCAUGCAAGCCCCACCACCCAGCGCACCACACCACCUACUUCACACCACUGACUAAGCUUAACUGGACAUCCCGGAAACCUCCUUCAAGCAUCCAUAGACCAACUUACCUUGGGUAUUACCCUCUUCGGUUUCCUCUGGUCUCGUGCUCCCAGACUCCACACCUUUCUUUCCCCCUGGCGGUUCAGUCAUCUCCUCCAAUCAGCAGAGACAAACCAGCCUACAGCUUGAGCAGAUUUCCUCCAUGAUACAACAUGCCCUGAACAGGCAGACCCCUGCAACUGCAGAUGGCACUGCAGCUUCCCAGAUCUCACAACAGCUGCCUCACUCACGUGACGUCAUUUCCCCUAACCCAGAGAAGUUCUCAGGAGAGACCACUAUCAAGAAAUACUAAGCCUGACGCCCUGUCCCGACAGUUCUCUGCCGAUGACUUGGAGAAGGAACCCACACCUCUUCUGCCUCCCAACUGGACUACUGGUUCACUCACUUGGGAGAUUGAAGAUUUAAUCACAACGUGAUGAACCCGAUCCCAGAACUGGUUCACCUAAUUGAACCUUUGUGCCUUUGUCUGUCCACCUUCAACUUAUUCACUGGAUCCACUCUUCAAAGUGUUCAGCCCAUCUUGGAGCCACCAGGACCAUUGCACUCAUCUCAAGAAGAUUUUGGUGGCCCUCACUGCAUAAAGAUGUUAAGGAGUAUGUGGCAUCUGUGCCAGAAAUAACCACCCUCCGGACUUCUCAAACCCCUUCAUGGUCAUGGUGGAGCUCAUCUCUAGGGGGGAUGAGUCAUCCCAUAAGGACAAGAUGGAACGGCUGACAGCGUGGUGCACAGAGAACAAUUUGCUGCUCAAUAUCUUCCAGACCAAGGACAUAAUAGUGGACUAUAGGAAAAAGAGCACGGACAUUUUACCACAGUCAGUGGGGGACUGUAUGGAGAGGGUGACUGACUUCCACUUCCUAGGGGUCCACAUCGAGGAGAACUGAACUAAAGUAUGAAGCUGCUGAAGAAAGCCCAGCAGAGACAGUAUUUCUAUGCUUAGGAGAAAUAACAUCACACAGAGGCUGGUGGAGUCCUUCUAUCUGUGCUCUAUUGAGAGCAUAAUGACCUACUGCAUCUGUGUGUGGUCCACCAGCUGUACAGUGACCCCAAGGAGAGAUCUCCAGAGAGUCAUUAAUGCGGCCCUAAAGUUCAUUAGCUUUCCUCUACCCAAACUUGAAGAACUUCACAGCUCCUGCUGUUUCCAAAAAGCCUAGAACAUCAGAAACACACUUCUAACCCAGGUCAUGCUCUGUUAGAACUGGUACUGUCAGGCUGACGAUAUAGAUCAAUUAAAGCAAGGACAAGCAGAUUCAACAACAGUUUCUAUCCAACAGCAGCAGCUAAACUCAGCCCAGUCUGAAUGUGAAGGAGAUGAAGUAAUAGAAAUAUGCUUCAGUAUGAAUAUGUUUUUCUUUUUACCGAACUGCUCCAGUUUUUCUAUUUGACAUAAAUCAUUCAUUGCUCUAUGCACAGACCAGGUAGCUUUUUCUCUCAGUUUUGCUGAACUUGUGACGAUGACAAUAAAAGAUAUUCUGAUUCUUUU
Long non-coding RNA from Girardinichthys multiradiatus, 2021 nucleotides. RefSeq lists it as uncharacterized. Lineage: Eukaryota; Metazoa; Chordata; Actinopteri; Cyprinodontiformes; Goodeidae. The record is from RefSeq and is a predicted model, not a curated record. The transcript has 4 exons.